CCUUCGAUAGCUCAGUUGGUAGAGCGGAGGACUGUAGGUACCAUGGAGUUGGUUAUCCUUAGGUCGCUGGUUCGAAUCCGGCUCGAAGGA
Molecule: non-coding RNA, 90 nt
Organism: Sus scrofa (pig)
Lineage: Eukaryota; Metazoa; Chordata; Mammalia; Artiodactyla; Suidae
Source: Rfam